UCAAUGCUAGUUUCUUGCAAUAAUCUGGUUGAUUUGAGGUUAAGAGGUUGCAAAGGACUUACUAGUUUAGCAAUUCUUUCUAUGUUCAAGAGUUGCAAGAGAUUGGAAAAUGUUGAUAUUAUACAUUGUUGUGGGAUUGAGGCUGAGGCUAUUGAAUUCUUCGUUCUUAAUUCACCGCGAUUGAGACGAAUGCAGGUUGAGGAAAGCAAGGUUUCUGAUGUUGCAAGGACAUGGGCGUCACAUAAACUCAUUGAGGUUGUUGCUUCAUUCAUGAACUAAAGAAGAAUUGGUUUUCCUUUUUUUUUU
RNAcentral lists this unclassified non-coding RNA (306 nucleotides) under Hevea brasiliensis (rubber tree). The record is from RNAcentral. Lineage: Eukaryota; Viridiplantae; Streptophyta; Magnoliopsida; Malpighiales; Euphorbiaceae.